RNAcentral lists this ribosomal RNA (405 nucleotides) under uncultured bacterium. RNAcentral describes it as "partial 16S ribosomal RNA". It matches the Rfam family "Bacterial small subunit ribosomal RNA", at positions 30 to 526 of the family's 1533-position model. The record is from RNAcentral.
AUUGAACGCUAGCGGGAUGCUUUACACAUGCAAGUCGAACGAGUGGCGGACGGGUGAGUAAUAUAUCGGAACGUGCCCAGUAGCGGGGGAUAACUACUCGAAAUAGUGGCUAAUACCGCACACUAUUGGAGCGGCCGAUACCGGAUUGGCUAGUUGGUGGGGUAAAGCAUCACCAAGGAAACGAUCCGUCGCUGGUGUGAGAUGACGACCAGCCACACUGGGACUGAGACACGGCCCAGACUCCUGCGGGAGGCAGCAGUGGGGAAUUUUGGACAAUGGGGGAAACCAUUAUCCAGCCAUCCCGCGUGUAUGAGAAGGCCUUCGGGUUGUAAAGUACUUUUGGCAGGGAAGCGGUAUCUGCAGAAUAAGCACCGGCUAACUACGUGCCAGCAGCCGCGGUAAUAG